RNAcentral lists this long non-coding RNA (1489 nucleotides) under Medicago truncatula (barrel medic). RNAcentral's name for it is "lncRNA gene6190". The record is from RNAcentral. Lineage: Eukaryota; Viridiplantae; Streptophyta; Magnoliopsida; Fabales; Fabaceae.
CUUUGUUUUCAUUUUCACCACCUUCUUUGCACCUUCUUGCCCACUCAUACUUUUCCAUUCUUGCGUCACUACUUUUCAUCUUCUCACAUGCAACAACUUCCUCUAGUUCCACCUUCUCUGCUUUCUCCUCUGUUUCCUCUUCUUCAACAUCUUCUAUUACUUCACCAACCAUUUCAUUUUCAUAUAAUUCUUCUUCUUUAUUAUGUGGUUUUUCAUUUUCAUCUAUGACAUCAUCAUCAUCAACAUCAACAUCCUCUUCUUGUUCCGGGUCAAAACUUGUAGUCUCAUUUGUCAAAAAACAGAGACGAAGACGGCCAUGGCUUCUAUCAGCUUGAAAACAUGAUGUACUUGGUGGGACCUUUGUGACUUCAAUUACUAACCUACCAUCUUCACGGUGGGGUCUAACACGAAGAGAUUCUGAUCCUCUCAUCGUUGUCAAAGGUGGUGGAAAAUUAUGGAUUUUUGGUUUCUUAGUAGCUAUUAAUACUGGACUACAAGGUUCUCUUUGCUCCUCCAUUGCUCCCAUUGAAGACAACAACAUGUCAUUUUCUACAAUGUCAGUGCCACUUUCAUUACCAAGAUUCUCCGUACAUAAUUCAAGGCUCUUUGGACUCAUAGCCAAAGAGGAACGUUUCUGUUGAGGAUGCACAUAGGUGGUUGUUGUGGUUUCUUUUUUCCAUGUGUUUUGAUAUAUAUUAUUUGAAAGACCAUCAAGGAAAUUCCAACCACCAUUGUUUUUGUUGGGCUUGUUUUGAAAAGUUUCUGUUUUGUUGAUUUUUUCUUCUUGGUGGUGGGUUUUGAUGUUUGAAUCAAAGAAACAAGUUUUGAAGGCUAAAUCAAUGGAUUGAGGAGUAGGGACUUGUUUUGGAGAAGGUAACCUUAACCUUAGUGUUCUUGACUCAACAAGAGGAGACUCAAGAUGUGUUUGCAAUCCAGGAUGGUAUACGACUGCAGACAUGAUUGAUGUUUGUGUCUUAAAUACUAGGAUGUUUCAAAUUUCAAAUUAAGGUGAUAAAGCUGAGUGUGAAGUUUGUUAUGAGUUUGUUUUUUCGGAUUGGAAGCAAGUGGUUUUAGUUUUAGGUAUGAAGAGAGGAAUAUAAUUGAAAGAAAGAAUGGGAAUGGUGUGUGGAAGAAGUGAAAGGGGUGGGGGUGAAUUUGUAGUCCUAAAAAGUGUUUUGGGAAAAAGGGGUCCUUUUUGCUCCACUUGAAUUUGUACAAUUUCUUAAUCCACACCACACAACACAAAAGAGAAUAAAUGAUAAAAUUUUCAAAAUAAGGAAAACGAGGAAGCAAGGAGUAAUGGUGUCAAGUGUUGUUGCUUUUAUGUUUGGUGCGUGACCUAAUGUCAAAGGACAAUAAUUUUGUACAAAUUUUGCUUCCUAACAAUAUCAAGUGUACACAAAAUUGUUGUUGUAGGUAUGUCCUUAUGUGGAAUAAAUGAUCAAUAAUAGGAGAGAGAUGUGUUUUUUCAUCGAAUAACGUACUUGUU